GACAGAGGGUGCAAACGUUGUUCGGAAUUACUGGGCGUAAAGCGCGUGUAGGCUGCCUUGUAAGUCGGAUGUGAAAGCCCCGGGCUCAACCUGGGAAGUGCAUUCGAAACUGCGAGGCUUGAGUCCUGGAGAGGAAGGCGGAAUUCUCGGUGUAGAGGUGAAAUUCGUAGAUAUCGAGAGGAACACCGGUGGCGGAGGCGGCCUUCUGGACAGUGACUGACGCUGAGACGCGAAAGCGUGGGGAGCAAACAGG
Molecule: ribosomal RNA, 253 nt
Filed under: uncultured bacterium
Lineage: Bacteria
Description: partial 16S ribosomal RNA
Rfam family: Bacterial small subunit ribosomal RNA
Source: RNAcentral